This is a long non-coding RNA of Diceros bicornis minor, 2291 nucleotides long. RefSeq lists it as uncharacterized. NCBI's taxonomy places the organism in Eukaryota, Metazoa, Chordata, Mammalia, Perissodactyla, Rhinocerotidae. The transcript has 3 exons. The record is from RefSeq and is a predicted model, not a curated record.
GACACAUGAUUUAUCAUGACUUUCUCCUUUCUUUCCUUUCCUCAUUUCUUGGCAGAAUUCUCUCAGAGCCCCCAAAUCUGAGUCUCUCCAUUUCGGGAGGUUGGGAUGGCAGAGACUGAGGGUUGUGAGGUGGCUAGGGUGUUGCCAGCCGAAGAGGUAAUGUUCCACAUGUUCUUGGGAGACCAGGAGCUUAGCCCCUUCCUCUCCUGGGAGGGAGACACAGCAUGGGCCAAUGCCACUGUUUGGGCCAUGGAGACUGGUGAUCAGGAGCUGUCUUGCCUUGUAUCUCUGGGACAGAUGGAGUGAAAACAAGAGAGCCAGUACAUGUCUAUAGCUUCCCUCUACCAAUCCUGGAGAUAAAAGAAUUGUACCCAUUGGCGGGGAGAGACAUUAACGUGACCUGCUCAGGGCAUGUAUUAACAUCACCCAGCCCUACUCUUCGACUUCAGGGAGCCCCAGAUCUCCCUGCCCCCGAGGAGCCUGCCUGGCUUUUACUUACUACCAGGGAGGAAGAUGAUGGCUGAAAUUUCUCCUGUGAGGCUUCUUUGGAGGUUCUAGGUCAGAGGUUCAUCAAAACUGCUGUGAUCCAGCUCCGUGUUUUAUGUGACUAGAGGCCUGAUCUUGUGAAAACAAGGAUUUUUAGUCUCCCAUUUUCAGAGAUGUUGGCCAGCAGCUUCAUUAUUAGAGUUGCCACAGUUUUCUCAUUAAAAUGAAAAAAUCAAAGGAGAAAAUAAAAUUACAGCUCUCCAAGAUCACGUUACCUCCAGGAAAACAAGCCACGGUUUGAGGAAUCUGGUUGCCCUGGCAACCAGACAUGGGUGGAAGGGACAGAACAGAUGCUUGCCUGCAUCGCAGAGGGAAACCUGACUCCAACCUUAAUGUGUACCUGGAGUGGAGUGAUCUUUGACCUUGAAGUGCCACAGACGGCAACCCACAACCACACUGGAACCUACUGCUACACAGCCACAAACCAGCUGGGCUCUGUCAGCAAAGACAUUGCUGUCAUUGUUCAAGGUGACUGCAGCUCCCCUGCUGCCAGGCCCAGGAUGGAAAACCUCCAGGGACUUGGGAUUCUUAUCCAAAAAUGGAAAGAAGAAAGAUUUCAGUGGGCUGGGGAGGGUGAGACUGAGAAGUGGGCUUGGUGGGCUGGGUUGGUAAUUCUUCAAGGGUAAUUCUCUUGCCCUUGAACUCUCCCAAUUCUCUGUCUUCUGUGCUUGGGCAGGCCUGGAAGAAGGAAUCAGCUCCAUUAUCUUCAUCAUUUAUUGUCACCCUUGAAGUGAGUGUAAUCACCAUGGGCAGUGUUUUUGAACUAACAGCCCUGCAAAAUAGACAGGCGGAAAUUGCCCUAUAGGCAGAAAGGAAGAACAAAGAGGAGGAAAGCCAGUUUGCUGUUCAACAAACAGAAAAGUGCAUCGUACAUAAUUGUUGAAUAGAAACAGCUGUUUGGUUGAAGGUGCCCUCUACUACUGGGGUUUCCUAAGGGAGGGAAGAUCGGGUAGAGAAGAAGGGAAGAGACGUUACUCUUUGUAUUCUGCAGUCCCAUAAAAACAAGUGUUUCAGGCCCCCAUGUCUUUUGUAUCCAAUGCAUCUACAGACUCAGCUCCUCUGAAUUCACUCUAGUCACUAGGAAUUUCAGUCUGAAUGUUCACCUCGUGAGAGGGCCUCUUGCUCCUUGCUGUGUGCUUAAUCAGUCCACUCUUAGAUUCAAAAAAGAAGAUCCUGCCCUUGCCUCAUCAUCCCCAUUCCCACUGCCCUUUGCUCCCAAACAUCAGACUGAAGAGAUAGUCAGAAAUAUCUCGGAAAUGCAAUUCAUUUCUCAUGGUUUCCUCAUGACUAAGUGGGAACCAGUUUCUUAGUCCGGGGACAGGACUUCAAAGGGAAUAAGUACCAAACAAAGCAAUAAGAAUCAGAACCCUAUUCCCGCCUACACAUUCCCCUGCUCCCCUAACUUGGGGUUCUGGAAUGCCGCUCCCAGAGCAGAGCUUGAUGACAUCAUUAAGGGUGGCUGGUUAGGCUUCAGCUCACUAACCAUUGUGUGCCAUGGAGGAGUAUAAAAAUCAUAAGAAAUUCCGUUUGGGGUUAUACAGGCAGGUUGCCUACCUAGCCCAGUGAUCUGUCCCUGAAGUAGAUGGUAGAAUUCUUCCAUGAAAUUGGCCUCAUGGGUUAAGGGCUCCAAACAUCUCUAAAUUCCUGUUCAUGAUCCAUUAUAGAGUAAUCAUCUUUGAGUUCACCUUCAACAUAUUAAUUUUUUUUACCUAUAUAGGCCCUUAGGGUAGAGUUCCAAUGUUUAU